GACGAACGCUGGCGGCGUGCCUAAUACAUGCAAGUAGAACGCUGAAGGGAGAGCUUGCUCUUCUGGAUGAGUUGCGAACGGGUGAGUAACGCGUAGGUAACCUGCCUGGUAGCGGGGGAUAACUAUUGGAAACGAUAGCUAAUACCGCAUAAUAGUAGAUGUUGCAUGACAUUUGCUUGAAAGGUGCAAUUGCAUCACUACCAGAUGGACCUGCGUUGUAUUAGCUAGUUGGUGGGGUAACGGCUCACCAAGGCGACGAUACAUAGCCGACCUGAGAGGGUGAUCGGCCACACUGGGACUGAGACACGGCCCAGACUCCUACGGGAGGCAGCAGUAGGGAAUCUUCGGCAAUGGACGGAAGUCUGACCGAGCAACGCCGCGUGAGUGAAGAAGGUUUUCGGAUCGUAAAGCUCUGUUGUAAGAGAAGAACGAGUGUGAGAGUGGAAAGUUCACACUGUGACGGUAUCUACCAGA
This 474-nucleotide ribosomal RNA is filed under the name Streptococcus sp. oral taxon 064. RNAcentral describes it as "bacterial SSU rRNA". It matches the Rfam family "Bacterial small subunit ribosomal RNA", at positions 28 to 487 of the family's 1533-position model. Lineage: Bacteria; Bacillati; Bacillota; Bacilli; Lactobacillales; Streptococcaceae. The record is from RNAcentral.